Molecule: ribosomal RNA, 1151 nt
Filed under: Salmonella enterica
Lineage: Bacteria; Pseudomonadati; Pseudomonadota; Gammaproteobacteria; Enterobacterales; Enterobacteriaceae
Also listed under: 1 other name
Description: partial 23S ribosomal RNA
Rfam family: Bacterial large subunit ribosomal RNA
Source: RNAcentral
GAGGUUAAGCGACUAAGCGUACACGGUGGAUGCCCUGGCAGUCAGAGGCGAUGAAGGACGUGCUAAUCUGCGAUAAGCGCCGGUAAGGUGAUAUGAACCGUUAUAACCGGCGAUUUCCGAAUGGGGAAACCCAGUGUGACUCGUCACACUAUCAUUAACUGAAUCCAUAGGUUAAUGAGGCGAACCGGGGGAACUGAAACAUCUAAGUACCCCGAGGAAAAGAAAUCAACCGAGAUUCCCCCAGUAGCGGCGAGCGAACGGGGAGGAGCCCAGAGCCUGAAUCAGCAUGUGUGUUAGUGGAAGCGUCUGGAAAGGCGCGCGAUACAGGGUGACAGCCCCGUACACAAAAGCGCAUGUGCUGUGAGCUCGAUGAGUAGGGCGGGACACGUGGUAUCCUGUCUGAAUAUGGGGGGACCAUCCUCCAAGGCUAAAUACUCCUGACUGACCGAUAGUGAACCAGUACCGUGAGGGAAAGGCGAAAAGAACCCCGGCGAGGGGAGUGAAAAAGAACCUGAAACCGUGUACGUACAAGCAGUGGGAGCACCCUUUGGGGUGUGACUGCGUACCUUUUGUAUAAUGGGUCAGCGACUUAUAUUCUGUAGCAAGGUUAACCGAAUAGGGGAGCCGGAGGGAAACCGAGUCUUAAUUGGGCGUUAAGUUGCAGGGUAUAGACCCGAAACCCGGUGAUCUAGCCAUGGGCAGGUUGAAGGUUGGGUAACACUAACUGGAGGACCGAACCGACUAAUGUUGAAAAAUUAGCGGAUGACCUGUGGCUGGGGGUGAAAGGCCAAUCAAACCGGGAGAUAGCUGGUUCUCCCCGAAAGCUAUUUAGGUAGCGCCUCGUGAAUUCAUCUCCGGGGGUAGAGCACUGUUUCGGCUAGGGGGCCAUCCCGGCUUACCAACCCGAUGCAAACUGCGAAUACCGGAGAAUGUUAUCACGGGAGACACACGGCGGGUGCUAACGUCCGUCGUGAAGAGGGAAACAACCCAGACCGCCAGCUAAGGUCCCAAAGUCAUGGUUAAGUGGGAAACGAUGUGGGAAGGCCCAGACAGCCAGGAUGUUGGCUUAGAAGCAGCCAUCAUUUAAAGAAAGCGUAAUAGCUCACUGGUCGAGUCGGCCUGCGCGGAAGAUGUAACGGGGCUAAACCAUG